ACGCACGCUGGCGGCAGGCUUAACACAUGCAAGUCGAGCGCCCCGCAAGGGGAGCGGCAGACGGGUGAGUAACGCGUGGGAACGUACCUUUUGGUUCGGAACAACUCCGGGAAACUGGAGCUAAUACCGGAUAAGCCCUAACGGGGAAAGAUUUAUCGCCGAAAGAUCGGCCCGCGUCUGAUUAGCUAGUUGGUGAGGUAACGGCUCACCAAGGCGACGAUCAGUAGCUGGUCUGAGAGGAUGAUCAGCCACACUGGGACUGAGACACGGCCCAGACUCCUACGGGAGGCAGCAGUGGGGAAUAUUGGACAAUGGGCGCAAGCCUGAUCCAGCCAUGCCGCGUGAGUGAUGAAGGCCUUAGGGUUGUAAAGCUCUUUUGUCCGGGAAGAUAAUGACUGUACCGGAAGAAUAAGCCCCGGCUAACUUCGUG
Molecule: ribosomal RNA, 430 nt
Filed under: uncultured bacterium
Lineage: Bacteria
Description: partial 16S ribosomal RNA
Rfam family: Bacterial small subunit ribosomal RNA
Source: RNAcentral